GGAGGAUAUAAUGCUCAUAACUUGCCAUUCUUAUUUAUAAUUGUGUGUCAAUAUUCUCUGCUAAUCAGACUUGAUGGGUUCAAUUUGCUUAGACUGAUGAAUGCUGGGUGAAGCUGAUGCUUGAUUAUUUUUCUCUUCCAAAUGUACCUCAAUUUCCCAUUAUUUGACUUUAUAUUAACUUGCAUGGCCAGUAUCAUGCAGAAUACCAAGAACAAAUGCAGAGGUUAUAAAUUUCUACCCUAUUUUAACAAAUUGAGUUUAAUUUCUUUUAGAUGAUUAAAUACACAAACUGAGCCUUUUUGUUGGGAUAGAAUUCAAGAAGCCUUUGGCAUUGGUUUUAUCUGCUUUGCCCUUGAAUACAAGAACACUCCAGCAAGAGCCAAUGCAGUUCCUGUAGUUAAAAACCGGCCAGUCUCAAGAAACAAAAGUUGAAAUGGAACUUCUCGUUGAAACAAAUUAGUUCUAAGAAAGUUAAUUACCAAGUGAGUUAAUGGGUGAAAUUGGCGUUUGGAAGAAGAUGACUGAGGAGACUAUCACAACCACACGCUUCACACAGUUUCCCACAGCAUGAGUAACAGGGUUUACCAUCUCUAGUAUCAUAUAAGAGACCUAUACAAGGAGGGAAAAAUUAAUAACUAAAACAUAUCCAUUCCAAUGUGUUUUAUGCCAAACAUGGUCUUAGAUUUAAAGUAUGUGGAAAAGGCAAAACAAUAACUAUAAAAAACCUCACUUGUUGAUAAGAGUGGAAGCAGAACCCAGUGAGAAGAGAUCUUAAACAUAGCUCUCUAACAUUCAACCCUUGGUUUGCCUGAAAAAGGGAGGGGAAAAAAAAGAAAGGAAGAAACAAUGUGGCUUUCAGAAUAGUUUCUUGGAAUAUUUUUGGAGUCCCAAUCAAUUGUUUUGGAUACUACUCACUGCAGACUGGAGGUAUGAAGGAGUAAACUUGUACCCAUCCAAGAAAAUAGCUGUGGGAACCAACAGGAUAAAAGAAAUGAUGGUUAUUACUGAGAAGAGAUUGAUGUUGUCCAAUUUUUCCUGUCAGGAAUACACUGCAGGUUAUGACCAAACUCAGAAGAAUGCUAUAGACAAGAAUUAAUGAUUUUCAUGUGAAGUAAAGGUGAAUUGGAGAAAUUUCAGAAGUAAAAUUAGUGUUUCUGUUACCUCUUUAUCAACCAUAAAUUUUUUGCUAAGUACAUUUCGAGAUUGAUUAGUGACAUUGGAAGCCAUAGCACUGCAGAAACCAAUCCAAUUAAAAGAGGCCUCAGUGAAUGAUGCCAAAGCUACUCCACAUACUAUUGGUACAAGGGAGGAAAGUGCCCAGAAAUAGGGCCUCUGUGCACAUAGAGCAGUGAAAACUGUCAUUAUAAGGUCACUACAAAGUGGCAGAAGGAGCUGGCUUUUCAUCACCACACUUAUCCUCACAAGAAAACAUAAAAGCAUUUACGAGAAGCAGCUGGUAACAUUAGCACAUGAUUGCUUACUUCGCCGAGAAACAGUGCAGCAAAUAAGACUGUGAAGAAGGGCUCCACAGCUUUGAUCGUGUGAGUGAAUGAA
RNAcentral lists this unclassified non-coding RNA (1554 nucleotides) under Hevea brasiliensis (rubber tree). Lineage: Eukaryota; Viridiplantae; Streptophyta; Magnoliopsida; Malpighiales; Euphorbiaceae. The record is from RNAcentral.